AUAAGAUUAGUUAAAAUUUAUAACUUUGGAUUUGCGUUCUAAGAUUGAAAUUAUAAUUUCAUCUUAUA
This 68-nucleotide transfer RNA is filed under the name Astrospartus mediterraneus. Its description in RNAcentral is "transfer RNA-Ala". Lineage: Eukaryota; Metazoa; Echinodermata; Ophiuroidea; Euryalida; Gorgonocephalidae. The record is from RNAcentral.